GAGAACGCAGCAGCACGAACCCAAAUCCCCAACGCGUAGCAGCUGGCUCCAACACCAACCCUCCAGCUUGCCGACGGUGGCGGCGGGUCAGACCCGGUGCCUAGCUGGGAGAUUGCGCCCGGUGGAGGUCCAGAUCCAUCGUCGACCGUCUUGCCGCCGGCGUUCUGGCUGCCCUGAUGGACCUCUCCUGUUCUAAGCUGCGACCUUGUGCGGACAAGUUCUCUAAGCUACUCUGCUCCGACAUCUAGAGGAAAUCCUCGCUCCAUUCUUUGUCCUACCCCAACCAGCCUAUUAUCACACGUCGCCUGCACCCCCGCAUCUAGCUCUGCCAUCUGGGAAUGCCUCAGAAGAAAUAUCCAUCCCGCAAAAAAAAGAAGAAAUAUCCGGUCUUCAGGUAUGCUUGUCAAAGGUUGAUACCAAUUUUCAUAGUUGAUUCUGUAGUAAAUGUCCUCUACAUUGUAAAGAGACUUGUGCUUGAAGUUCAGACUGAAAGUACCAAACAUUCUGCAAAUAUUAUGUACCAAAUUUCAGACUUGUGCUUCGACAGUCUGAAAGUACUCUAUUGAGUAAAAUUUCAGACUUUUAGACUUGUGCUUGGACAGUCUGGAAGUACUUGAGCUUGUACCAAAUUUCAUACUUUCAGACUGACAGUCUGAAAGGUAAUAUUAACAAAGACGACAGUCUGAAAUUACUUGUGCUUGUACCAAAAUUCAGACUUCCAGACUUGUGCUUGGAGAGUCUGAAAGUGCCAAAUUUCAGACUAGUGCUUGGACAGUGUGAAAGUCUGAAAGUACCAUAUGUUGUGCUUGUACAUGUCAUCUACGACAUACAUAAUAUUAGUACUUUCAAACUUCUUCGGCGUAAAGAGUACUUCCAGUACAUAAUAUUAUUUAGAAAAUCAUUUUUUCAACUCUUACUACAAACUGGAAGCACAAUUCUGUAGCAUAUCAAGUUUAUUUAAGAGUACAUAAUAUUUUUGGCAUAUAUAUCUGAAAGUACUCUUGCUUUAAAAUGCUUUGAGCAUAUGUUGUAUCCUCUAGGAUAAGAUUCAAAAAAAUUGGAUCUUUGGAAAUGAUAUGAAUGGCAUGUAGAUGAUAUAUUUUAAUCAUGAGUAACAGUACCUUGGAUGCUUACAAUGAUUUUUUGGGCAAAGGCGAGCAGUACAGUAGCUAACCCACUAGCAACACAGUAUGUUAUACAUACAUACAGAGAGCUAAAAGAAAUUACUAAAGGACAGAACAUCCAUCAAUCUAACUGAAUAGAUAUAUUACCAGUAUAUAUGCUUAUUCCAACGAAAAAAGCACAUGUGAUAAAUGUGAACUAUAGUGCAAAAACUUAGUUUAGUAUGUACUGACACUUUAUGUGGUGUUGAUUAGCCAUAACAGAAAACAUAAUGUUUGCCUCAAAAUUUGGACAGGACAACUAGUUCAUGCUCAUCUGGGAUAUGCUUGCUUUCAAUUUGAGAGGAAUAACAGGGAUAUCUCUUUGUAUCCAUGCACAGAAAAAAAAUUGUAACUGG
Molecule: long non-coding RNA, 1519 nt
Filed under: Triticum aestivum (bread wheat)
Lineage: Eukaryota; Viridiplantae; Streptophyta; Magnoliopsida; Poales; Poaceae
Description: long non-coding RNA (TAES_LNC013324)
Source: RNAcentral